This 4123-nucleotide long non-coding RNA is filed under the name Sorghum bicolor (sorghum). RNAcentral's name for it is "long non-coding RNA (SBIC_LNC017566)". Lineage: Eukaryota; Viridiplantae; Streptophyta; Magnoliopsida; Poales; Poaceae. The record is from RNAcentral.
CAAUGUUUCGUGCUGGUUGGCGUACAUUGCUGGGAAGCCCUCUGAGUUUAGUUUCACACCCAAGAAACGGUUUAUCAUUUGGACUUCCCAAUAAGAAGUUAUGGUCAGUUUAUUGGAAACUGCUAUGGAGGCCAACAGUCACACGAAGCCAGUUCGGGAAUCCAUUCUGAGGGGACCUUUCACAUUGCCUUCCCUCAGAAACUCUAUUUUGUUUUCAUACCUAUCUAGUAGGGCAGUUGCUAGUAUAAAUACCCCCUAAGACUCAUUAUAAUCUAAGACUUUUGAUAAUUGAAAUACAGAACCCCUUUUAUUUAGUUGUGUGCUAACAAAUAUUUAGAGAGUGAUCUCUACCCCUUGCUCUUGUUAUUUCCUCGUAGGAUUGCAGAAGCGGCACCUUCAUCCGCUCCCAACUGGUGCUCCUACUCCCUUGAAGGUAUUCCUUGAUUAAUUGUAGGCUGUGUUGGUUGGUUCCUUGAGAGUGUGGUUGGGCAAAUCCUCGAUUCAGGUUGUCGGUUAAAGAUGGUGGUUGGCUUCGAGUUUUAUUUACCAGGUUGCACUAGUUAUCGCUACUUGCAGCAAGUUAUUCGGCUGUUCUUCAGCUAGUUAUCGCUGUUCUUCCUACGUCGUAAAGAUCGGGACAACGUGUCGCAUCAAAGGACCACCAGUCAUUUACCCUUCAUCAGUUGGUGCCGUCACGCUCUAAUAAUAAAGUUAAUAUUCUAAGGUAAGUGGUCACUCUAUUCUCUUGAUCUUGGUGCGCACAUAAGUAAAGACACAAACAUAUUAGACUUACAACAUAAAUUGAUUAACUCAAUAUGCUUUGCUCUUUAAAAUUGUUCAUGGCACCAUUCUCUUAAUCUCAGUCUUAACUGAACAAGUUAAAAUAUUAUAUUCAAUCUUGGGAAGAUGAUAGUCAUCCUUAUUUGAAAAUUUAUAUAGAGAUAGAUAAUCGUUCCAUUCGUUAAGCAAUUUCAUUAUUUUCUAUCAUGUAAAUGCAACACUAAAUGCUUAAUUUUUUGAUCUUACCACUCAUAAAUAAAUAAAUCAUGUAACACAACUUUAUCUUGUUUAAUGUGCCUAAGGAUAGAGAAAAAUAAAUAAAGAAACAGAUUUGGUUUUGAUGGUGUUUUCCACCAGCAGAGCCAAUGCACUUGAUCUCUACCUUAGUUUUUUAAACAGGACAACACAUCAAGCAAAGUUUAUUAAUUCUACAAGUCAAAGUUCUGUGAAUAUGCACACUGAGCAAGAUGCUGCCAGCUACUAUUAACUCUCCUUCAACCUGCUAGCCAAAUCAAAGAACAAAGGUUACAUCAUCAUCACUAGAGGUAUGCAACUAACAAGACCUCCAUCUCUCAAGAUGGAGAGAUACACAAGAGUGGAAGAAGUCCUUCGGUAAAUUUUAAAAUUUUUAUAUUCUUGCCAUAAUGUAAUAUGGUAGUUAUAUAUUUAAUUAGUAUUUCUUUCUACAUUAAUAAAUUUACCUUAACAUAUUCAUCUUCAUAAAUACUAAAAAUAAAAUAAAAUAAAAUAAAAAUCUUUAUUCCUUCAUUUACUACAUCAUAAAAAACCUAAGCCCCAUAAGAAUAAAUAUUCUCUGUGGAGGCAUAAAAAUACAACUAUAUAUAUCAUGCACACAUAUUUAAUUUCUACAUAAUUAAACUAGAAAAUCCUAAAAAAAGAGAAUCCUGCUAGAAUCUAUCAAUUCAAAUCAACUCAAAGAAUAAUAAAUCACUUAUUGGCUGACCCCUAACCCAUUAUUAAAUUCGAGCCUCGAGUUUUGGUUUUCCUUUUGGAGUGUAAUUAUGCAGGAACAACAUUAUGACAAGGAGAGAGUCUAUUAGUGGCACCCACCUAGAGCGCUGCCGGUUAGCUCGCUCUGAAGAUCAUCAACACCACUAUUGCAAACAUCUAGCUUAGGGGAGGAGCAUCACCUAGUUAUCAGGUAACUAUACCUACGCGAUUAUCGAGUCUAUUUUAUAUGGUCACAAAAUACCAAAAAUAUGUGAGCACAUGAAAGUUCACAAUAGGAUCAUAAGAAAAUAUAAAAAUACCAAAAAUAUAUGGGCACAUGAAGAUCCAUGUCUUUAAGUCUUAUGAUCCAAUAGAAAUAAAAAGAUGGAUAAUAAUUGAAAAUAAAAAACAAAAUACUUAUCUAUAUAUUAAGGUGUGAUCAUAGAGUGUGUCUACAGUGAGUCUAGUUUAGAGUCAAAUAAAAAUUAGAGAACAUUAAAAUUUUGUCUUCGAGAUGAUGAAUAGUUGCUCUAUAGUAAUUCCUUUCAAGUGCCUAGUUUUCAACCAUGAAUUCUCCUGAGUUUUAGACAUGACCACUUUAAUAUAAGAAUUUACUCUGAACUUAAAAUUUGUGGAGGCAUUUGUUUAAGCUGAGUCUAGGUAAUUGAUAUUGUACAUGAAGGUCUAAGCUGCUAUUUAUCUUAUUCCUAGCAUUACUAAGUUUUGGAGAUUUAGUUUCAACAAAACCAAAAUCUUAUAUGACGAGCUCUUGUAUGAUAAAUGUCAAAUUCCUACCAAAGCCAUACGAUACAUUUAGAGUUAGGAAAACCUUUCCACAUUCAUGUUGCUUGCUUUACAUUGAGUUUAGUCAACCUUUGGAGUAUACCUUAUGAGAGUCUUGUCAUGCUUUUAAAAAUAAGAUCACUUACGCACUCCACCCAUAUAUGCAAUACUCCUACUCUGGGAUGUAAGCCUAGUCAUUUCCACUUUCAUCCAGAUCCACCUUAAAAAUAUUUUCUCCUACACUAGGAGUAAACACCCAAAAAUAUACCCUAUAGGACAGCCCCCAUUUAACUGCUCUAAGUUCUUAUCAUUAUCUAUCCGAUUAUUUAUAUUCAAAGGAUGCAUGUGGCUAUGCAAAAGUAUUGAAAAAAAUAAGAGAAGAAGAAAUGUGGGAGUAAAAGAUGGAGAAGUGUCCCAACAAUUAAAACAAUGGGUACACAGAUGCCCGCCUCCCAUAUUAAAAAAAGAAAAAGGAAAAAUAAGAAAGAAAGAAAUAAUAAAUAUAUUCCUGCGAAAAGUUCUAAGGAGGGCGUAAUUUUCAAAGAACAAAUGUAGAAUUAGGAUUAGCCACUAAAUACUAUAUAUACACCUAUCCACCAUAUUCCAUACACAUACACAUCUUGAUUUGAUUGUAUGCCUCGAUUCUCUAUGGAUCCAUUGUUUGAUAUUACAGUAUAUGAAAUGCAAGUAUGUUCAUCCUUGUUAUUGCCACUCCUAUAAGCUCCACUAUAUAUAUCCUUAGUUGCAGGAAGGCAUCCUCAGCGAGAUCCAUAAAUACUACAUAAUAAGAGACUUGAGGAUGUCAUACAAUCAUGCUUUGAGCUUUAUUUUGAAAACUUGCAAAACUCUAGAAUAUUGGUACUGUGAAGAAUUUGAGACAUAGUGCUUGACUUGAUUGUUCUAUCUUUUGAUUACUCAAGACUUAUGCAAAAGUUGUAAUGCUCUAUGUUUAAAGGUAAAAUGGGUAAGUUUGAAAGUUAGAUCGGAGGAAAAUUUAUGGUUAAAAACAAAUGUACUUAAAAGAAAUGAAAGUAUUAUAGCAACUCCUGAUCCAAGUUUAUUAAUAAUUAGAUCUAGGUUGUUUGCCAAGGGAUGGGCAAAAGGUAAGCUUGGGGGAAUUGUUGACGGUCGAUAAUGUUCAUAUUUAUUAGAACUUUCGACAUGAAAGGAUACAGGAAUACACACUAGUCUAGGGUUUUAACUGACAACUUCCACGAGUUUUGGUGGUUCUAUAUUUUCUAGGGAUUAUUCAAGAAAAGCAUAAAAGAGGGGAUUAUAGUGCAUAAUUACCACGAAACUUAUCCACAAUGGAAAACAUCACGAGAAGACUCAGGAAUAGUCUAGAAGACACUCGAAGGAGUGGGGCCUACAGGGGAGCCUAGGUGGGGCCGGCCGGACCCACCCUAGGGCCGGUCGACGCCCUUGGUCAACCGAUGGCCGCCGCCUUCUAGAGUCUUCCUCCUACGCCUCAUUAGAAGCCAAGCAAAGUAUCGCUACGUUGAUUCUAGGGUCAGUUUGAUCCGACGGUGCAUGCAAGACGAAGACGUGGAUCAAUGAUGUGGCGGUUCCUUGCCCCCUUACUCCACCUCGGGCUAUAUAAUGAUGCCCC